This 205-nucleotide long non-coding RNA is filed under the name Elaeis guineensis (African oil palm). RNAcentral describes it as "long non-coding RNA (EGUI_LNC063916)". The record is from RNAcentral. Lineage: Eukaryota; Viridiplantae; Streptophyta; Magnoliopsida; Arecales; Arecaceae.
UGAAAAUGGGUGCAUUGUGGGCACCUUGUACGGUUCCAAUUCUAUCUCAUGUAGGAAUCCUUCUUUCAUGAGUAUUGGACUGAUUCAAAGCAUGAUUGAAUUAGGUGUCCUAUACUUAUUAUGUCAUAGAAAUCAUCUAUAAAUAAAAAGAGUCUCUACCUAUGGAUGGAAAGAAAUCAAAUAGCAAAAAUUAGAUUGAGAGAAG